UACGUAGGUGGCAAGCGUUAUCCGGAAUUAUUGGGCGUAAAGAGCGCGCAGGUGGUUGAUUAAGUCUGAUGUAAAAGCCCACGGCUUAACCGUGGAGGGUCAUUGGAAACUGGUCGACUUGAGUGCAGAAGAGGGAAGUGGAAUUCCAUGUGUAGCGGUGAAAUGCGUAGAGAUAUGGAGGAACACCAGUGGCGAAGGCGGCUUCCUGGUCUGUAACUGACACUGAGGCGCGAAAGCGUGGGGAGCAAACAGGAUUAGAUACCCU
Molecule: ribosomal RNA, 265 nt
Filed under: uncultured prokaryote
Description: partial 16S ribosomal RNA
Rfam family: Bacterial small subunit ribosomal RNA
Source: RNAcentral